Molecule: small nuclear RNA, 107 nt
Filed under: Octodon degus (degu)
Lineage: Eukaryota; Metazoa; Chordata; Mammalia; Rodentia; Octodontidae
Source: RNAcentral
AUGCUCCCUUCAGCAGCCCAUGGGCUAAAGCUGGGAGGAUACACAAAGAAUGAGCCUGGGCCUUACGCAAGGCUGACAUGCAGGUACAUGAAGAGUUCCGUAUUUUA